ACGGGAGGCAGCAGUGGGGGAUAUUGCACAAUGGGGGAAACCCUGAUGCAGCGACGCCGCGUGAGUGAUGAAGUAUUUCGGUAUGUAAAGCUCUAUCAGCAGGAAAGAUAAUGACGGUACCUGACUAAGAAGCACCGGCUAAAUACGUGCCAGCAGCCGCGGUAAUACGUAUGGUGCAAGCGUUAUCCGGAUUUACUGGGUGUAAAGGGAGCGUAGGCGGCCAGACAAGUCAGAUGUGAAAACCCGGGGCUCAACUCCGGGACUGCAUUUGAAACUGCCAGGCUUGAGUGCAGGAGAGGCAAGUGGAAUUCCUAGUGUAGCGGUGAAAUGCGUAGAUAUUAGGAAGAACACCAGUGGCGAAGGCGACUUGCUGGACUGAGACUGACGCUGAGGCUCGAAAGCGUGGGGAGCAAACAGGAUUAGAUACCCUGGUA
RNAcentral lists this ribosomal RNA (434 nucleotides) under uncultured Clostridium sp. RNAcentral's name for it is "partial 16S ribosomal RNA". It matches the Rfam family "Bacterial small subunit ribosomal RNA", at positions 341 to 792 of the family's 1533-position model. The record is from RNAcentral. Lineage: Bacteria; Bacillati; Bacillota; Clostridia; Eubacteriales; Clostridiaceae.